UUGGAGCGGCCGGCGUUCGGCCCAGAGAGCCUCGCCUUUGAUCACCGUGGGGGUGGCCCAUACACCGGCGUUUCCAACGGCCGCAUCAUCCGGUGGAGGGGCAACCGCCGCCACCACGGCUGGACUGAGUUCGCCCACAACUACAAGCACAAGACGAUGGUGGAGUGCGCGAAGAAGAAGAAGCCAGUAGAGCCCGAGAGCGCGUGCGGGCGGCCGCUGGGCCUGCAGUUCCACCGCGUGUCCGGUGACAUGUACAUCGCACAUGCGUACCUGGGGCUCAUGAGGGUGGGGCGGCGCGGCGGGCUGGCGGAGGUGGUGGCCACGGAGGCUGGCGGCGUACCCUUCAACUUCCUCAACGGGGUGGACGUCGACCAGGAGACCGGCGACGUCUACUUCACGGACAGCAGCACCGCCUACCAACGGAGUGAGUACAUGCUGAUGGUGUUGACCGGCGACGCGACGGGGCGACUCAUGAGGUACGACCCGCUGACGGGCAAUGUCACUGUGCUCAGGUCUGGCCUGGCCUUCCCCAAUGGUGUGGCCGUUAGCGCCGACAGGACGCACCUCAUCGUCGCCGAGACAUCCUCGUGCAGGCUGCAUCGGCAUUGGCUGCGGGGAUCCGCGGCGGGGAAGACGGAGGUGCUCGCCGACCUACCGGGGUACCCGGACAACGUGAGGCCCGACGGAGAUGGCAUGGGCGGGUACUAGGUGGGCAUUAACCGAGACAAGCAAUGGGAAGAGAUCGGGACCACGCCGAACUCCAUCAGCGCCAUCAGGGUCGUCGUCGCUGGAGACGCCAAAAACAGGACGGUGGCCGAGAUGCUGCGGGGGUUUGGCGACGCCACUGUGAGCGAGGUGGUGGAGCAGAACGGUUCACUGUGGAUCGGCUCCGUCGACACACCCUACGUCGGCAUGUUCAUGUUGGCAUCAGUGUAG
RNAcentral lists this ribosomal RNA (936 nucleotides) under Triticum aestivum (bread wheat). Its description in RNAcentral is "partial small subunit ribosomal RNA". Lineage: Eukaryota; Viridiplantae; Streptophyta; Magnoliopsida; Poales; Poaceae. The record is from RNAcentral.